AAGCACGAAUUUUGCCUGCUGCACCUAUCAAGCACUGUUGAAUUCCGAUACCACUUGCAGAGACUUCUUAACAGGGACUGUGACGUGUGUUUCAUCUUCACCGUAGUAGCCUGCAGGGCUUCCCUCCUCACAGGUCUAGUAAUCACCCCCAAGGCUUUGAUGGUCCUGCCCUCGACAGCACGUAGCUGAAUUUUCAUUGGAAGAAUGGAAUGUCAUUCACA
Chanos chanos (milkfish) is the source of this 221-nucleotide long non-coding RNA. RefSeq lists it as uncharacterized. NCBI's taxonomy places the organism in Eukaryota, Metazoa, Chordata, Actinopteri, Gonorynchiformes, Chanidae. The record is from RefSeq and is a predicted model, not a curated record. The transcript is spliced from 3 exons.